UGCAUCGUGGAAUCGAUUCAA
RNAcentral lists this non-coding RNA (21 nucleotides) under Caenorhabditis elegans. Lineage: Eukaryota; Metazoa; Nematoda; Chromadorea; Rhabditida; Rhabditidae. The record is from RNAcentral.